Molecule: ribosomal RNA, 433 nt
Filed under: uncultured bacterium
Lineage: Bacteria
Description: partial 16S ribosomal RNA
Rfam family: Bacterial small subunit ribosomal RNA
Source: RNAcentral
AACGAACGCUGGCGGCAUGCCUAACACAUGCAAGUCGAACGAGACCUUCGGGUCUAGUGGCGCACGGGUGCGUAACGCGUGGGAACCUGCCCUUAGGUUCGGAAUAACUCCCCGAAAGGGGUGCUAAUACCGGAUAAUGUCUUCGGACCAAAGAUUUAUCGCCUUUGGAUGGGCCCGCGUUGGAUUAGCUAGUUGGUAGGGUAAUAGCCUACCAAGGCGACGAUCCAUAGCUGGUCUGAGAGGAUGAUCAGCCACACUGGGACUGCGACACGGCCCAGACUCCUACGGGAGGGAGCAGUGGAGAAUAUUGGACAAUGAGCGAAAGCGUGAUACAGCAAUGCCGCGUGAGUGAUGAAGGCCUUAGGGUUGUAAAGCUCUUUUACCCGAGAUGAUAAUGACAGUACCGGGAGAAUAAGCUCCGGCUAACUCCGUG